AUUGAACGCUGGCGGCAGGCCUAACACAUGCAAGUCGAACGGUAACAGGAAGAAGCUUGCUUCUUUGCUGACGAGUGGCGGACGGGUGAGUAAUGUCUGGGAAACUGCCUGAUGGAGGGGGAUAACUACUGGAAACGGUAGCUAAUACCGCAUAACGUCGCAAGACCAAAGAGGGGGACCUUCGGGCCUCUUGCCAUCGGAUGUGCCCAGAUGGGAUUAGCUAGUAGGUGGGGUAACGGCUCACCUAGGCGACGAUCCCUAGCUGGUCUGAGAGGAUGACCAGCCACACUGGAACUGAGACACGGUCCAGACUCCUACGGGAGGCAGCAGUGGGGAAUAUUGCACAAUGGGCGCAAGCCUGAUGCAGCCAUGCCGCGUGUAUGAAGAAGGCCUUCGGGUUGUAAAGUACUUUCAGCGGGGAGGAAGGGAGUGAAGUUAAUACCUUUGCUCAUUGACGUUACCCGCAGAAGAAGCACCGGCUAACUCCGUG
RNAcentral lists this ribosomal RNA (490 nucleotides) under uncultured bacterium. RNAcentral's name for it is "partial 16S ribosomal RNA". It matches the Rfam family "Bacterial small subunit ribosomal RNA", at positions 30 to 507 of the family's 1533-position model. The record is from RNAcentral.